RNAcentral lists this unclassified non-coding RNA (274 nucleotides) under Ascomycota sp. RNAcentral describes it as "partial contains small subunit ribosomal RNA, internal transcribed spacer 1, and 5.8S ribosomal RNA". The stretch from base 1 to 47 matches the Rfam family "Eukaryotic small subunit ribosomal RNA", at positions 1785 to 1831 of the family's 1831-position model. The record is from RNAcentral. Lineage: Eukaryota; Fungi; Ascomycota.
AAAGUCGUAACAAGGUCUCCGUUGGUGAACCAGCGGAGGGAUCAUUACAGAAGCAGACUGCCUAGUUGUAGCUCUUCAACCCCUGUGAACCUUAUAUUCUUUUUAGAAGACGUUGCCUCGGCGUUUAGUGCUAGUUAGCGUAAAGCUAGCCAGUUGCAGCGCCAGAGGUAGCUGAUUCCAACUACAACGCUCCAAACAAGCUCAGCCUUUUCUUCUGAACUAUUCAAUAUAAAAAAACGAGUAAAAACUUUUGGCAACGGAUCUCUUGGCUCUG